UACAGAGGUCCCAAGCGUUACUGAGAAUCACUGGGUUUAAAGGGUGCGUAGGUGGUCCGUUAAGUCAGUUGUGAAAUCCCCGGGCUCAACCCGGGAACUGCUUCUGAUACUGGCGGACUUGAGGCCAGUAGGGGUCACUAGAACUGACGGUGGAGCGGUGAAAUGCGCAGAUAUCAGGAGGAACACCGGUGGCGAAGGCGGUUCUCUGGGCCUUACCUGACGCUGAGGAGCGAAAGCGUGGGGAGCGAACAGG
This 253-nucleotide ribosomal RNA is filed under the name uncultured bacterium. RNAcentral's name for it is "partial 16S ribosomal RNA". It matches the Rfam family "Bacterial small subunit ribosomal RNA", at positions 524 to 776 of the family's 1533-position model. The record is from RNAcentral.